RNAcentral lists this long non-coding RNA (209 nucleotides) under Elaeis guineensis (African oil palm). RNAcentral describes it as "long non-coding RNA (EGUI_LNC063591)". Lineage: Eukaryota; Viridiplantae; Streptophyta; Magnoliopsida; Arecales; Arecaceae. The record is from RNAcentral.
UCAGCUGGAGCUCGGUUGGGACAUCUGAUGGAGCGGAAUGGCUCUCUAUCCAAUCGAUCUAGGAGAAGCUCGGAUGUUUCCGAAACUGCUGAUGAGCCUACUGUUGUCAGAUACCUUAGGCACUGAUACUACAGGUGGAAGUCAUCUGCCGUAGAAGCUCGGAUGGAGACUUUUCAUCGGUGAAGUCCGAUAGGAGUCCGAUUGCUAGG